GAUGAACGCUGGCGGCGUGCCUAGUACAUGCAAGUCGAGCGAACAGACGAGGAGCUUGCUCCUCUGACGUUAGCGGCGGACGGGUGAGUAACACGUGGAUAACCUACCUAUAAGACUGGGAUAACUUCGGGAAACCGGAGCUAAUACCGGAUAAUAUAUUGAACCGCAUGGUUCAAUAGUGAAAGACGGUUUUGCUGUCACUUAUAGAUGGAUCCGCGCCGCAUUAGCUAGUUGGUAAGGUAACGGCUUACCAAGGCAACGAUGCGUAGCCGACCUGAGAGGGUGAUCGGCCACACUGGAACUGAGACACGGUCCAGACUCCUACGGGAGGCAGCAGUAGGGAAUCUUCCGCAAUGGGCGAAAGCCUGGCGGAGCAACGCCGCGUGAGUGAUGAAGGUCUUCGGAUCGUAAAACUCUGUUAUUAGGGAAGAACAAAUGUGUAAGUAACUAUGCACGUCUUGACGGUACCUAAUCAGAAAGCCACGGCUAACUACGUG
RNAcentral lists this ribosomal RNA (497 nucleotides) under uncultured bacterium. Its description in RNAcentral is "partial 16S ribosomal RNA". It matches the Rfam family "Bacterial small subunit ribosomal RNA", at positions 28 to 507 of the family's 1533-position model. The record is from RNAcentral.